RNAcentral lists this transfer RNA (72 nucleotides) under Brachyphylla cavernarum (Antillean fruit-eating bat). Its description in RNAcentral is "transfer RNA-Gln". It matches the Rfam family "tRNA". From Rfam's summary of the family: Transfer RNA (tRNA) molecules are approximately 80 nucleotides in length. Their secondary structure includes four short double-helical elements and three loops (D, anti-codon, and T loops). Further hydrogen bonds mediate the characteristic L-shaped molecular structure. tRNAs have two regions of fundamental functional importance: the anti-codon, which is responsible for specific mRNA codon recognition, and the 3' end, to which the tRNAs corresponding amino acid is attached (by aminoacyl-tRNA synthetases). tRNAs cope with the degeneracy of the genetic code in two manners: having more than one tRNA (with a specific anti-codon) for a particular amino acid; and 'wobble' base-pairing, i.e. permitting non-standard base-pairing at the 3rd anti-codon position. Lineage: Eukaryota; Metazoa; Chordata; Mammalia; Chiroptera; Phyllostomidae. The record is from RNAcentral.
UAGGAUUUAGUGUAUGUGGUAGCACGAAGAUUUUUGAAUUCUUAGGGUUAGGUUCAAUUCCUAUAGUCCUAG